Molecule: ribosomal RNA, 253 nt
Filed under: uncultured bacterium
Lineage: Bacteria
Description: partial 16S ribosomal RNA
Rfam family: Bacterial small subunit ribosomal RNA
Source: RNAcentral
UACGAAGGGGGCUAGCGUUGCUCGGAAUCACUGGGCGUAAAGCGCACGUAGGCGGCUUCUUAAGUCAGGGGUGAAAUCCUGGAGCUCAACUCCAGAACUGCCUUUGAUACUGGGGAGCUAGAGUCCGGGAGAGGUGAGUGGAACUGCGAGUGUAGAGGUGAAAUUCGUAGAUAUUCGCAAGAACACCAGUGGCGAAGGCGGCUCACUGGCCCGGUACUGACGCUGAGGUGCGAAAGCGUGGGGAGCAAACAGG